This is a long non-coding RNA of Parus major (Great Tit), 310 nucleotides long. RefSeq lists it as uncharacterized. Lineage: Eukaryota; Metazoa; Chordata; Aves; Passeriformes; Paridae. The record is from RefSeq and is a predicted model, not a curated record. The transcript has 3 exons.
ACUGUGGCAAGCUGUGCCUGGUUAUGGAGAUCACAGGAGUCUGAGAAGGAAACCCAGGAUUAUCAGAGGAUGACAAGUAAGCUGGGUUGGCAUUGCAGAUCCUCACACAGGAACCACGAGGGCAUGUACAUUUCUCCCCACGCUCAUGAGUCAAGAAGUUAAGAACAGAAAUAAAUAUUCACUGAAAGUGUGAAGUUGAAGACGAAAUGUGAGACCUCCUCGUUGCGGAAAUGUUUCACUCGGGAUGCGUACUCAUCUGACUGCAGAUGUUUAAUGACAUCAGGAAACCAGACAGAUAAGCCAUAGUAGC